UGGGGAAUAUUGGACAAUGGGCGAAAGCCUGAUCCAGCCAUGCCGCGUGUGUGAAGAAGGUCUUCGGAUUGUAAAGCACUUUAAGUUGGGAGGAAGGGCAGUAAGUUAAUACCUUGCUGUUUUGACGUUACCGACAGAAUAAGCACCGGCUAACUCUGUGCCAGCAGCCGCGGUAAUACAGAGGGUGCAAGCGUUAAUCGGAAUUACUGGGCGUAAAGCGCGCGUAGGUGGUUCGUUAAGUUGGAUGUGAAAGCCCCGGGCUCAACCUGGGAACUGCAUCCAAAACUGGCAGGCUAGAGUACGGUAGAGGGUGGUGGAAUUUCCUGUGUAGCGGUGAAAUGCGUAGAUAUAGGAAGGAACACCAGUGGCGAAGGCGACCACCUGGACUGAUACUGACACUGAGGUGCGAAAGCGUGGGGAGCAAACA
This 427-nucleotide ribosomal RNA is filed under the name uncultured bacterium. RNAcentral describes it as "partial 16S ribosomal RNA". It matches the Rfam family "Bacterial small subunit ribosomal RNA", at positions 355 to 774 of the family's 1533-position model. The record is from RNAcentral.